RNAcentral lists this ribosomal RNA (429 nucleotides) under Chloroflexota bacterium. RNAcentral's name for it is "Chloroflexi bacterium partial 16S ribosomal RNA". It matches the Rfam family "Bacterial small subunit ribosomal RNA", at positions 355 to 776 of the family's 1533-position model. The record is from RNAcentral. Lineage: Bacteria; Bacillati; Chloroflexota.
UGCGGAAUAUUGCACAAUGGGCGCAAGCCUGAUGCAGCCAUGCCGCGUGUAUGAAGAAGGCCUUCGGGUUGUAAAGUACUUUCAGCGGGGAGGAAGGGAGUAAAGUUAAUACCUUUGCUCAUUGACGUUACCCGCAGAAGAAGCACCGGCUAACUCCGUGCCAGCAGCCGCGGUAAUACGGAGGGUGCAAGCGUUAAUCGGAAUUACUGGGCGUAAAGCGCACGCAGGCGGUUGAUUGAGUCAGAUGUGAAAUCCCCGGGCUUAACCCGGGAAUUGCAUCUGAUACUGGUCAGCUAGAGUCUUGUAGAGGGGGGUAGAAUUCCAUGUGUAGCGGUGAAAUGCGUAGAGAUGUGGAGGAAUACCGGUGGCGAAGGCGGCCCCCUGGACAAAGACUGACGCUCAGGUGCGAAAGCGUGGGGAGCAAACAGG